RNAcentral lists this ribosomal RNA (245 nucleotides) under uncultured bacterium. RNAcentral describes it as "partial small subunit ribosomal RNA". It matches the Rfam family "Bacterial small subunit ribosomal RNA", at positions 26 to 285 of the family's 1533-position model. The record is from RNAcentral.
AGAAUCAACGCUGGCGGCGUGCCUAACACAUGCAAGUCGCACGAGAAAGGGACUUCGGUCCUGAGUAAAGUGGCGCACGGGUGAGUAACACGUGAAUCAUCUACCUCCGAGUGGGGAAUAACCUAGAGAAAUCUGGGCUAAUACCGCAUAACACUUACGAGUCAAAGCAGCAAUGCGCUUGGAGAGGAGUUCGCGGCAGAUUAGUUAGUUGGCGGGGUAAUGGCCCACCAAGAUGAUGAUCUGUA